AACGAACGCUGGCGGCAUGCCUAACACAUGCAAGUCGAACGAGACCUUCGGGUCUAGUGGCGCACGGGUGCGUAACGCGUGGGAACCUGCCUUUAGGUUCGGAAUAACUCAGAGAAAUUUGAGCUAAUACCGGAUAAUGUCUUCGGACCAAAGAUUUAUCGCCUUUAGAUGGGCCCGCGUAAGAUUAGCUAGUUGGUGGGUAAAGGCCUACCAAGGCGACGAUCUUUAGCUGGUCUGAGAGGAUGAUCAGCCACACUGGGACUGAGACACGGCCCAGACUCCUACGGGAGGCAGCAGUGGGGAAUAUUGGACAAUGGGCGAAAGCCUGAUCCAGCAAUGCCGCGUGAGUGGUGAAGGCCUUAGGGUUGUAAAGCUCUUUUACCCGGGAUGAUAAUGACAGUACCGGGAGAAUAAGCUCCGGCUAACUCCGUGCCAGCAGCCGCGGUAAU
This 449-nucleotide ribosomal RNA is filed under the name uncultured bacterium. RNAcentral's name for it is "bacterial SSU rRNA". It matches the Rfam family "Bacterial small subunit ribosomal RNA", at positions 29 to 524 of the family's 1533-position model. The record is from RNAcentral.